RNAcentral lists this ribosomal RNA (429 nucleotides) under Chloroflexota bacterium. Its description in RNAcentral is "Chloroflexi bacterium partial 16S ribosomal RNA". It matches the Rfam family "Bacterial small subunit ribosomal RNA", at positions 355 to 776 of the family's 1533-position model. Lineage: Bacteria; Bacillati; Chloroflexota. The record is from RNAcentral.
UGGGGAAUAUUGCACAAUGGGCGCAAGCCUGAUGCAGCCAUGCCGCGUGUAUGAAGAAGGCCCUCGGGUUGUAAAGUACUUUCAGUCGGGAGGAAGGUGGUAAGGUUAAUAACCUUGGCAAUUGACGUUACCGACAGAAGAAGCACCGGCUAACUCCGUGCCAGCAGCCGCGGUAAUACGGAGGGUGCAAGCGUUAAUCGGAAUUACUGGGCGUAAAGCGCACGCAGGCGGUUGAUUGAGUCAGAUGUGAAAUCCCCGGGCUUAACCCGGGAAUGGCAUCUGAUACUGGUCAGCUAGAGUCUUGUAGAGGGGGGUAGAAUUCCAUGUGUAGCGGGGAAAUGCGUAGAGAUGUGGAGGAAUACCGGUGGCGAAGGCGGCCCCCUGGACAAAGACUGACGCUCAGGUGGGAAAGCGUGGGGAGCAAACAGG